GUGGCCAGAGGAGGACAACAGACUUCCAGACGGAAUGGAGGAAUGAUUUGGGUAACAUCUGAAACGCAGUCGCACAUCAACAAGCAAACGGGCUCCCGGGACGUGGUGGCGGCCUCUGUGGACUCGGUGUUGCUGAUGGCGACUGAGAGGAACCGGUGGGAGCGCCUCCCGAGCCCGCUGCUGCCGCCGAGGUAACGGUUGCGGUCCGGCUCAGGGGCGGAGGAUGUUUGGCCUGCCAGCGCAGAGAGAUCCAAACAGCAAUCCUGGCACUUGACUACCAUAUGGAAACAACUUGUUAUGACUGCAUUGUGGAAAUGGUGUUCAAAAUGAAACACACAGCAUACAAGCUGAAAUAGCACUUAUAGUUGUUGGUAUUGCAGGGAGAGCAUUCAAUAUGUUAAAUACAAGAUAUCUUUGUUGGGUUGCUUUCUGCCUUAAUGUCAAUCAAUAUGUUGGAAGUUAUAAAGAAGUUCAAAUUCUGAUGAAGAAGGAAGAAUUGACCUAUGAAACGGUCAAUAUUUUAUAAUAUUUUUGAAAAGGGUGGUGACAGAAAGAAAGAGACAUUAUCAAGAAGGAAUUCAUAUAAGGGAUAAACCACAUUUUGAUUACUACCAACCUACUGAAUUGGCAGUGGAGGUUGAUUUGGGAGCAAAGCUGUGGCCAUAAACAUUGAAGAAGACGAGCAGAUUCUUCAUGACAUUGAGACUUUCUACAACACCACAGUGGAGGAAAUGCCAAUGAAUGUGGCUUACAGCACUCGCUCUUGUGGACUAGGUGAUAACAACGUGCAUUGGGCUCUUUUAUUUGGGAAUAUUUGAAGCUUGUCUCAAAGCUCAUAACAGAUCAGAAAUACAGAAUUUUGAUAGAAUGCUACUCUUACUCAUGAGCUCAUAUGAGGAAGGUCAUUGGCUUUAUCGUCUUUAGAAUUAGAAUACUGAAGUUGGAUAUGAAAGGUGGGAUUGUAAAAAUCAUUCUUAGAAGUUUAUUUCCUAGUUCUGUGAAAAUUGUUUUAUAUUGAGUGUUCUCUGUCAUCUAACACUAUACUUGUGGACUGGACAAUAUGUGCUGUAUAAAAGGAGCCAAUUCUAUUAAACUAGUGUAUCUAC
Zalophus californianus (California sea lion) is the source of this 1106-nucleotide long non-coding RNA. RefSeq lists it as uncharacterized. The transcript is spliced from 5 exons. Lineage: Eukaryota; Metazoa; Chordata; Mammalia; Carnivora; Otariidae. The record is from RefSeq and is a predicted model, not a curated record.